RNAcentral lists this RNase P RNA (356 nucleotides) under Verrucomicrobiota bacterium. RNAcentral describes it as "Verrucomicrobia bacterium partial RNase P RNA component class A". It matches the Rfam family "Bacterial RNase P class A", at positions 75 to 367 of the family's 367-position model. Rfam says of the family: Ribonuclease P (RNase P) is a ubiquitous endoribonuclease, found in archaea, bacteria and eukarya as well as chloroplasts and mitochondria. The record is from RNAcentral. Lineage: Bacteria; Pseudomonadati; Verrucomicrobiota.
CGUAAAAGACGCGGGCGCCGCGGCCCCGAAAGUGUUCGGGGUUGCGGUGACGGAAAGUGUCACAGAAAAGACACCGCCGGUUCUUUGCAAUACAAGGCACAGGCAAGGUUGAAAAGGCGAGGUAAGAGCUCACCGCUCGCGGAGCAAUUCGCGAGGCAGGAAAAACCCCAUGCGGUGCAAGACAAAACAGAGGGAGGACAGCCGGUCCGUCGAUCCUCGGGUUCGUCGCAUCACGGUCCCGCCACUGCGGGAUCGGGCGGUUCCGCGAAGGCGGGAUUGAGAUAAAUGAUCAUCGCCCAGCUUCUUUGCUCGCAAAGAGCUGUGGGACAGAAUUCGGCUUACCGCCGUCAAAUAUG